This 21-nucleotide microRNA is filed under the name Picea abies (Norway spruce). RNAcentral's name for it is "pab-miR11442". The record is from miRBase by way of RNAcentral. Lineage: Eukaryota; Viridiplantae; Streptophyta; Pinopsida; Pinales; Pinaceae.
AUUGGGAUUCGUCAUCAGGAC